UGCUGCCGGGGGGGGGGCCGGGGGGGGGGGACAGCAGAGACACGGGUGGGUGUCACCACGGGGCCCUGGGGACAGCAGGGACAUGGUCGGGGGACACCACAGGGCCCUGGGGACAGCAGAGAUGUGGGGGACCGUCCACCUGGGAAGGUCUUGGGGACGGCAGCGGGGAGGGGGACCGUCCCCCUUGCCCUGGGGACAGCGGGGACGCGGGCCGGCCUCCGGGGCGGCUCACACGGCGACGGGCUCCUGGACGUGGUUCUGGCGCUUCACCACGAAGAGCUUCUGCCCGGAGACGGUGACGAGCAGGGAGUGUUCCCCGAACACCACUGCGGGGACAGGGUGAGCGCGGGGCCACCGAGGCCACCACCGUCGCCCCGGGGACGCCACCCUCCUGGAGGCAGGGCGAGUGCGGGGCCACCGGGGUCGUCACCAUCACCCUGGGGACAGGGUGAGUGUGGGGCCACCACGGUCAUCACCAUCACCCUGGGGACACCGGGGACACCACUCCCUAGGGACAGAGUGAGCGUGGGGCCACCGAGGCCACCACCAUCACCCUGAGGACACUG
Molecule: long non-coding RNA, 566 nt
Filed under: Apteryx owenii (little spotted kiwi)
Lineage: Eukaryota; Metazoa; Chordata; Aves; Apterygiformes; Apterygidae
Description: lncRNA (ENSAOWG00000002468.1)
Source: RNAcentral